GUCUGACGGAGCAACGCCGCGUGAGUGAUGAAGGUUUUCGGAUCGUAAAACUCUGUUGUUAGGGAAGAACAAGUACCGUUCGAAUAGGGCGGUACCUUGACGGUACCUAACCAGAAAGCCACGGCUAACUACGUGCCAGCAGCCGCGGUAAUACGUAGGUGGCAAGCGUUGUCCGGAAUUAUUGGGCGUAAAGCGCGCGCAGGCGGUUUCUUAAGUCUGAUGUGAAAGCCCCCGGCUCAACCGGGGAGGGUCAUUGGAAACUGGGGAACUUGAGUGCAGAAGAGGAGAGUGGAAUUCCACGUGUAGCGGUGAAAUGCGUAGAGAUGUGGAGGAACACCAGUGGCGAAGGCG
RNAcentral lists this ribosomal RNA (351 nucleotides) under Bacillus licheniformis. Its description in RNAcentral is "bacterial SSU rRNA". It matches the Rfam family "Bacterial small subunit ribosomal RNA", at positions 381 to 723 of the family's 1533-position model. The record is from RNAcentral. Lineage: Bacteria; Bacillati; Bacillota; Bacilli; Caryophanales; Bacillaceae.